GUGACACAGGAAAAGUGAAUUGGUUUUCCAUUUAGUUUUCGAUAAAAUGCGAUCAAUGUGAUUUUUUUAAUUCAGUGCACACUGGAAUGAUUGAAAAUAAUGUUUCACACAUUAAUGCAGGUGUUAUACUUGGUGCCAGGUUGAAACACAGGCUUGAAUAAAAUCCUAGCAUGUGUAGAUAUUCCAAGUUGUUCAAAUGACUUAUACAAAUGACAUAAAAAUGAUUGAUCAGCAAUUGAAUUAGAAGCAACUGACAAUUAUAAACGAGCUGCUUUAAAAAGAAGAAAGCUAGAGAUCAAAAAUAUUGAACUUGUGUGAACAAUUAUAAGAUAUGUGAACAAUUGAACAAAUUUAAUAUGUUAUAAUUAUGUAAACUACAAAAUAAAAAAUAAUUGUAAAAAAU
This 403-nucleotide small RNA is filed under the name Atta cephalotes. Its description in RNAcentral is "sRNA LOC105620393". The record is from RNAcentral. Lineage: Eukaryota; Metazoa; Arthropoda; Insecta; Hymenoptera; Formicidae.